This 5024-nucleotide long non-coding RNA is filed under the name Sus scrofa (pig). RNAcentral describes it as "lncRNA (ENSSSCG00055024408.1)". The record is from RNAcentral. Lineage: Eukaryota; Metazoa; Chordata; Mammalia; Artiodactyla; Suidae.
AGGCUCAUGAGCAAAUAUAUAAUCAAUUAUAUAUACCCAUAUUUCUUUUCAUCCUGUUUCUUUUUUCCUGAUGCUCCAAGUUUCUUUUUUUUUAUCAUUACUUUUCUGUUUAAAGAACUUUCUUUAGCCAUCUUUCUAACAAUAGGUCUAAUAAACAGAGAGCAGAAUGAUGGUUACUAGGGGCUUGAGGGGGAGGAGGAUGGGGAGAUGCUAGUCAAAGGUUAUAAGCCUUCAUUUAAAGUACAGUGUGGUGGCUAUAGUUAAUAAUACUAUCUUGUGUACUUAAAAUUUCCUUAGAGAGUAGACAUUAAGCAUUCUCACCACACAUACAGAAAAAGGAACUUUGUAAGGCAAUGGAUGUAUUAAUUAGCCUGAUUAUAGUAAUCAUUUCAUAAAGUAUAUGAAGGUCAAAUCAUUACAUUGUAUAUCUUAAAUGUAAAGAAUUUUAUUUGCCAAUUAUACCUCAAAACUGAUACUAAGAAAGAAUAGAUCUAUUAGUGACAAAUUCUUUGUAUUCUCUCUCACAUGGGAAUAUUUCUGUAUUUCCUUAAUUUAUAAAAGUGGUGGACACUUCUUUCCUUUCAGCGUUUAAAGUAAUUUUUGUAGCUUCCUUCUGGCCUCCAUGGUAUCACAUGAGAAAUAUGCUGUCAUUUGAAUUUGUGUUUUCCUAUAGUUCAUGUGUUGUUUCUCUCUGGCUGCUUUAAAAAUUAUUUUCUUUGAUUUUAGUUUUCAGAAUUUUAAUUGUGCUGUUUCUUGGCAGGGAUUUCUUUGAAUGCAUUCUAUUUGAUAUUUACUUAACUUUAUGAACUUGUAAGUUCUUGUUUUCCAUCAAAUUAGGGAAAUUUUAAGCUGUUAUUUAUGUGAAUAUUCCUUUAGUCCUACCCUCUCCUCUCCUUCUGGCACUGUGAUGAUACAAAUUUUGUUUCACAGAUCACUGAGGCUCUAUUCCUUUUUUCUCUCUAUUAUUUAGAUUGGGUAAAUUCCAUUGAUCUGUCAUUCCUACCUACUGAGCCUAUCUAGUGAGUUUUCUUAUAUCUGUUAUUUGGCCACUAUUUGUAAUAACUAAGAUAAAUAAAAAUUUCAAGUUGUGAUGUUUUAUCUAUUCUUUUCUAGUUAUUGCACUAUUUCUAUUUUGUUGUCAUGUCAGCUAGGACCAUCAUUAAAAUGCUUAAUAAUAGAAGUCAUGAUAUCUUUUUAUUUUGCUCUUUUUUUUUUAGGGCUGAACCCAUGCCAUAUGGAGGUUCCCAGGCUAGGGGUCUAAUCGGAGCUACAGCUACCAGCCUACACCACAGCCACAGUAAUGCCAGAUCCAAGCCAUGUCUGUGACCUACACCAAGCUCAUGGCAAUGCCAGAUCCUUAACCCACUGAGCAAGGCCAGGGAUCAAACCUGCCUUCUCAUGGAUCCUAGUCAGAUUCAUUUCCACUGAGCCAUGAUGGGAACUCCAGAAAAAUAUGAUAUUUUUCAUGUAGCUUUUCUUCUCCUUUUCUUUCUUUCUUUUUUUUUUUUUGUAGUCAUCUUUGGUUAAGGAAGUUUUUCCUUUAUCUUGCUAGAAAUUUUUAUAUUGAUGAUGCAUUAAAUUUCAUCAAGUCCUUUUUUACAUCAGUGAGAUGUUAAUGUUUUUCCUUCAAAUCUUUUAAAUAAGCAAAUUACAAAGACAGACUAUCAAAUCUAUGUGCCAUCCUAAUAUAUAUCUGACUUAUUUCUACUUUAUUAUUUCAAAUCCUCCUUGAAUUCAAUUUUCUCAUAUUUUAUUAGGAUUUUCCUUUUAUGCUUAUACCUGAGUUUGAUUACUAAUUGUAUAUAGUGCACUUCUUGUCCAGUUUGGCAUCAAGUUUAUGCUAACCAUUGGAAAGGAUUUUAUAGGAAUUCCUGCUGUUGUGCAGUAGGUUAGGAAUCCUGCAUUGUCUCUGUGGCAGCAUGGGUUCUAUCCCCAGCUUGGUGCAGUGGGUUAAGGAUCCAGCAUUGCCACAUUUAUAAUAUUCUCUGUGUUCUAAAUUUCUGGAACAAUGUGCCUAAGAUGAAAGUUACAUGUUUCUUAAAGUUUUUGUUUAAUACCCCAUAGAAGGUCAUAAAAUGGUAGUAAAAAACACCCCCUAGAAGGAUAUGAAAUAGUAGUGAAAUAUAAUUUUCAAAGAUUUGUUUUCUUUAGAGUUUAUUGGUCUAUUCAACUUUUCUACUUUUUAUUUGGAAAUUUUUGUGUACCUUUAUAUUUCUAAAUUAUUAUCUACUUUAUGAGUGCAAAUAUUUUUGCAUAAAUAUGUACAUAGUCUACUGAUGUGGUAAUCAUCUGAUGUUUUUGUAUUUUACCUUUCCAAUUUUGAUUAUACUUAUCGAGGUUUGUGUUUUUAAUUAGUUUUCUGAAACAACUUUAUUUUAUAAAUAAGUUCUACUGCUUUUUUAUCUUCUCAUUUUCAGCUUUUACAUUUAUUAAUUAAUUUAGAUUGAUUUUUUUUUCAUUUUGCAGUUCCCUUUCUGGUUUUAUAUUUCAAUACUUAAAUUGUUUGUUUUACUCUCCCAUAUUCAGGUACAUUUCCUUCUUCUUAUUACAUUGGCUAUACCUCACACAUAGUGUUUUUGUUAUCAUUUACUUCUAAAUUUUUUUUUAAUUUCUUAUUCAAUUUCUCUUUAAUCAAGGUUAUUUUGUAGCUGUCUUUCUUCUUCUUAAUUUCUAAAUUGUACGGAAUUUAGACAGCACCCUUUAAAAAUUAUUUCUCAAUCUAUUGAAUUUUAGUGUGUGGAUAUGGUUGGUACAAUGUGAUUAUUUUUAAUUAGUUAAGACAUUUUUUGUCAAAUUCUGCAAAUAUUCCAAAUAUGUUUUUGCUCUACCUCUAAAUAAAGAUUAUGCUUUUUUCCCCAGUUUGUUGGUUAAUUUGGUUAUUGAAAUCCUCUAUAAACCUUCUUAUUUGAUUUACUGGUUUCUGAGAAAGAUUUGCUUAAAUCUCCUAUUAUUGCAUGUUUUUCAAAUUCUCCCUUGAGACUUAGUCAACAUGUGCUUACUUUAACAAAAAUAUGUUGGGAUAUGUAAGCUAAUGUUCAUGACUUUUAUAGGUUAUAGUUGAUUUUUCUUUAACAAUACAUACUUUCUUACUUUGCCCCACUUAAUGCUUUCUGUAAUGAAACCUGUUUUACCUACACCUGCUUUUAUUUUAACAUUUACUUCAUGUAAAAUUUUUAUUCAUUUAUUUAUCACCUUUUCUGCCAUCUUACUAAGGUGCCACUCUUAUUAGCAGUCAUCCUUAGACUUUUAAAAAAUCCAAUUUGAGGAUCUCUAUCUGACAGUAGAUAAUUUUAAUCAAUUAAAGUUUAUGUGAAUUCUGAUAGAUUCAGCUUUAUUCCUGCCAUCUUAUUUUGUGUUUUCUCUUUCAUUAUUUUAUUCUAUUCCUAUUUUAUGUUGGAUGAUCAAAUUUAUGUUUGACUUUCCUAUUAUUUGUUUAGAAACUGAAUUCAUAACUCUAAUUCUUUGAGUAUCCACAUAUUAGCAUACUCUUAAUAAAUAUCUAAAAAUAGCAUUAGUCUUUUGCAUUUUCUCUCUCCUUCCUUCAGUGGUCCUACUUAUUUGUAUCAGUUACUCCUUUUUAUCUGCAAUUUCAGGUCUUUCUUCAUUUUAAAUUUUAAAUAUUCUUUUACAUAUUUCAGGUCUCUUAUUUUGGUACAUAGUUAUCUGGUUUUUUCCUUAAUCCAUCUUCUAUGUUAUCACCUCUCUUAUCAUUUUAUUGCCUUUAUUUUUUCCUUGUUCUUCUAUGUAAUCUUAGAAAGCUAUUUUAGGUACUCUACACAUAACUAAUUUAUGUUGUAAUAAUCAUCCGUGCUUGUAAUGCUUUUUUGAAAUAUGUUACAGUAUUCAUUUCCCUCUACACUUUUUUUCAUUAUACUACCUAUAUCUUUUAUCUCUAUUUUAUUUCAUCAGCAUAGCUUUCAUCUCCUCUCUAGAUUUCAGUUUAUUUCUGUGAACAUAGUGCAGAUGCUGGCUAAAAUUUCCUCUUAUUCUUGCAAUCAUUUUAACAAACUAUAUCCUCUGUAUCUCUUUAGUGUUACCUUUAUUUCUUAUUCUGAAAAAUCUUUUGGCCCACUUGUUAGUUCUUUCUGUUGCAAACUUGAAUGUUGCCUGAUAUUUGUCCAAAGUGUGGAUGGAUUCUCCUUAGAUUCCUUCAUUAGUCUCUAGGAUACUCAUAAAAUCUUUUGUUCACAACUUUAAUUUGAAAGUUGAUUAAAAUAAGUUUUUUUAAUCUGUUUGGUGAUUCAGUAACCUGAAGGUAAUGGUAAGAUGCUAUUGUAUUGAGCAGCCCUGGUAUAUAGUAAUUUUAUUUUUUCAUAGAUUUUAUUUCAAGAAUCAACUUUCUGCAUUUAGUUUUUCAUUAGCCUGACUUCCACUUCAGACACAUAAUUCAUUGUCCAUUUUUAUUCUUGGUGCUGGUGCCCACAAUGCCAGAGAAAACCCUGAUAUAUUAAGAAAUGAUUUUAAAGUCCUAAAUAAAUGAAGAGAUUUACCUCGUUCAUGGAUCUGAAGAUUCACUGUUGUGGAGAUAUUGACAAUUCCCAAAGUGAUUCAUAGAGUCAAAUUAAUGCCAGUCAAAAUCUCAGCAGGAGCUUUGCUUAUAAAUUGAAAACUCAUUCUACAAUUCAUAUGGAAAAGUAAAGUUACUAGAAUAGCUAAUAAAAUAAUUCUGAACAAUACCUUAUUACAAGAUUUACAAUAAAUCUAAUGUAAUCAAAACAAAAUGAUACUGACAAAGAGACACACAUAUCAAUGAACAAAAUAGAGAAAUCAGAAAUAGACACACAGGUAUGUUCCCGUCGUGGCGCAGUGGUUAACGAAUCCGACUAGGAACCAUGAGGUUGCGGGUUCGAUCCCUACCCUUGCUCAGUGGGUUAAUGAUCCGGCGUUGCCGUGAGCUGUGGUGUAGGUUGUAGACGCGGCUUGGAUCCCACGUUGCUGUGGCUCUGGCGUAGGCUGGUGGCUACAGCUCCGAUUGGACCCCUAGCCUGGGAACCUCCAUGUGCGACAGGAGCGGCCCAAGAAAU